GUCUACGGCCAUGCUACCCUGAACAAGCCCGAUGUCUGAUCUCGGAAGCUAAGCAGGGUCGGGCUUGGUUAAUAGUUGAAUGGGAGACCGCCUAGGAAAACCAGGUGCUGUGGGUA
RNAcentral lists this ribosomal RNA (116 nucleotides) under Pteropus alecto (black flying fox). Lineage: Eukaryota; Metazoa; Chordata; Mammalia; Chiroptera; Pteropodidae. The record is from RNAcentral.